UGAUAGCUUUGAAGCGAGAGGUUGCUGCAACAUAUAAAAUAUGAUUGCAGGUUUUCCGUGGAGCGAAUGUCAAGUUAGGAAACUGACGGCAA
This 92-nucleotide non-coding RNA is filed under the name bovine gut metagenome. RNAcentral's name for it is "S10-Clostridia ribosomal protein leader". It matches the Rfam family "S10-Clostridia ribosomal protein leader". The record is from RNAcentral.